This is a long non-coding RNA of Toxorhynchites rutilus septentrionalis, 763 nucleotides long. RefSeq lists it as uncharacterized. The record is from RefSeq and is a predicted model, not a curated record. NCBI's taxonomy places the organism in Eukaryota, Metazoa, Arthropoda, Insecta, Diptera, Culicidae. The transcript is spliced from 3 exons.
CAUUAGCCUAAUUACCAAGUUGUUAAUUGAGUUGCACGGUACUUCUUUCCAAUAUUUAUUUCUUCACAGAAGAAGGUCGUAUUCACUCAGAUUCGGGACAGCAAUGAUUUGUGCUCGUCUGCUGCGGGAGAAUGCGGAGACAUUACUUCAAUAAUAAGGAAUCUGGGUACUUCGAUACACAAAAUCGAGCCCUGUCGAGUCCUAGUUCUGCCUUUAUGCUGUUGGAUUUGGUCAAGGACAACUUCAUAAACGUUUUGCAGAUGAUUGUGAUCGGUGGUUCGAUCAAUUGGAUUAAGCGUCACUUAAUUCCGCCUGGGUUUUGUCAGCUUCGUGAUAUCUCCCGAAUGUGUUUGGCUGAGAAGUAAUUACACGCUGGAGAUGAUAAUGCCAUGGAUCAGACCCAAUCGAUGCAGGAUCAGAUGUCGAUAGUUUAGAUAGUUCAAUAAAUGAAUAAAUAUACAUACAAAAGCUCAAUAAGUUUAUAACAAUAUAUGCAUAAAGGUUGGGUUAACAUAACAUGUUUAGGGUAUAUGUUAAACCAACGUUGAACCGACUGCUUAUACUGGGUUAUACUGGCCGAUUUGACAUUUGUUUACCAUUGUUAUCGCGUAAUAUGUUUACUAAGUAUUGGUAAUAAAUUUACUGAGUAUUGGUAACAUUUACCAAAAAGCUCGUCAUAUAUACCAACUUUUUGGGAGAGUGUAUGAUCGGCGAUUAUGAUGAACUCGAGGAAUCGCUGUUUAUACAAAAAAGAGCGUGAAGU